RNAcentral lists this ribosomal RNA (471 nucleotides) under uncultured Methylophilaceae bacterium. Its description in RNAcentral is "bacterial SSU rRNA". It matches the Rfam family "Bacterial small subunit ribosomal RNA", at positions 916 to 1381 of the family's 1533-position model. The record is from RNAcentral. Lineage: Bacteria; Pseudomonadati; Pseudomonadota; Betaproteobacteria; Nitrosomonadales; Methylophilaceae.
GACGGGGCCCGCACAAGCGGUGGAUUAUGUGGAUUAAUUCGAUGCAACGCGAAAAACCUUACCUGGCCUUGACAUGUAGCGAACUUUCCAGAGAUGGAUUGGUGCUCGAAAGAGAACGCUAACACAGGUGCUGCAUGGCUGUCGUCAGCUCGUGUCGUGAGAUGUUGGGUUAAGUCCCGCAACGAGCGCAACCCUUGCCAUUAAUUGCCAUCAUUUAGUUGGGGCACUUUAAUGGGACUGCCGGUGACAAACCGGAGGAAGGUGGGGAUGACGUCAAGUCCUCAUGGCCCUUAUGGCCAGGGCUUCACACGUAAUACAAUGGUCGGUACAGAGGGUUGCCAAGCCGCGAGGUGGAGCCAAUCCCAGAAAACCGAUCGUAGUCCGGAUUGCAGUCUGCAACUCGACUGCAUGAAGUCGGAAUCGCUAGUAAUCGCGGAUCAGCAUGUCGCGGUGAAUACGUUCCCGGGCCUU